Molecule: long non-coding RNA, 2922 nt
Filed under: Meleagris gallopavo (turkey)
Lineage: Eukaryota; Metazoa; Chordata; Aves; Galliformes; Phasianidae
Description: lncRNA (ENSMGAG00000023016.1)
Source: RNAcentral
CACCCCACUGCUCCCAGCACACCCAGACCACCACCCUGCACGUCCCCACAUGUCCCCAGCACGCACCCCACGCACAGCGGCAGCGCUCCGGGGACACGCAGUCGCCGUCCUGCAGCAGCUGCCCAUGGGGACAGGCGCAGGCGGGCAGGCAGCGGGGGGUGGCCAUGCAGGCAGUGUCCUCCCGCAGGUCCUCGCAGGUGUGGGGACACGGCUUGCCACAGGCAAAGGCCACCAGACCGCCACCACACUCUGCAGGGAGCAGCAGUUUGUAGGGGCGGAUGGGAGGGGUGCGGAUGGGAGGGGGUGGACACGGACAUAGCGGUGAGGGGACUGUGACCCCAGGACCCUGCAGCAGCCUCACCUGGGCAAGUGCUGGUGGCCCAUGGGCAGGCCCGGCUCUGGCUCCAGCCACCCCAUGGGGACAGGAUGCAGUCGGCUGGCGGGGAUGGAGAUGGGUGAGGGCUGCCCUGGGGGCCUCCCCAUGCCCAGAGCUUAUCCCCUUUGGAAAGGCCCACAGGGAUGGAAUCUCUGCUCAGCCCCUCUUGGUGCCCUCCAGCUCUGGUGUCACCAGCCCUGGCACUCCCAACACCUGCCCCCUCACUUUCCCACUGGAGCAGAGGGCUGGAGCUGGUCAGCACAGAACGCUUGGUGAUGGAGGGAUGCCCUUUCCCCAUCCCCACCCCCACCCCUUCCCUCUCCACAUUCCUAUCCCCAUCCCCGUUCCUCAUGUCUUCUGCAUUCCUGUCACUGUCCCUAUCCCCACCCCACAUGCAUUCCCAUCCCCAGCUCCAUCACCAUUCCAUUCAAUUCUCUUCACUGUUAACAUCUCCAUCCCCGCCUAUCCUAUCCCAAUCCUAUUCCCAUCCCCUCUCCAUCCCACCCCUAUUACACUCCAUUCCCAUCCCCAUCUCCAAGCCCAUAUCAUCCGCUGCCAUUCUCAUCCCAUCCCCAUUCCAAUCUCACCUCCUCUCCAUCCCUUUGUCAUCCCCAUCCCAUCCCCAUCCCUUCCCCAUUCCCCCCACACACCACAGCUGCUCUCAUCGGAGCCAUCGGCGCAGUCGCGGCUCAGGUCGCAGCGCUUCUCCAGGGCCAGGCACUCCCCAGUGCUGCAGGAGAACUGCUUGGGGGAGCAGGUGGGUGGGGGACCGCUGGGCCAGGCCAGGGGUGUUGGGGGGCUGCUGGAGGCGGGGGGGGCUCCUGUGGGACAAGCCCUUGUGUUGAGCUGGGGUUCAGCAAUCCCAGGCUCUGUGGGGGCAGGGAGGUGCUGGGGGGCUCACCGCAGUGCGCCUCAUCAGAGCCAUCCAGGCAGUCCUGCUGCCCAUCACAGACCAUGGCUGCAUCCACACAGCCCAAGGCAUCACAGAGGAACUGGUCCGGGAGGCACAGGAGCCGGGGCAGGGGUGGCUCUGGUGGGAAGUGAGGGAUUGUGGUGGGGGCUGGUGGGACAAGUGGGAGCCGUGGGUUAUCACUGCCCGCCUCAUGGCACACCCAGCCGGCAGCAAGAUGUACGUUGUCCCCAUGUCACCCUGGGGACAUUCACAUACCCCCUAUGGUACCAGGUGCUGGGGAAGUCGUCCCCCCCUCAGACCCCACACAGGCCUGGUGCCAGGUCAUGCCUCCUUACCAGCAGACGUUGGAGUGGGGACCCCAGUGGGGGGCACAGGCGGUCCUGUCACAGGGCGUGACACCAUUACUGCUGCCAUGGGGGGACUAGGAGAGGGUGGCCCCCUGGGGGUGCUGGUGGUGGUGGGGACGCCUGGCAGCCUGGUGGUAGAUGGCACAGCAGGGCUGGUGGAGCCAACAGUGCUUGUCCCUGCUGGCACCUGCACACGGGGAGAUGAGUGUCACCACUGCCGCUCUCUGUGCCACAUGGCUCCUGCCCCCCGCUUGUCCCCAAGUUCCAGGGCUCACCGCUGCUGGAGAGGCCGCAGGUGGCUCUGCGGUCAGCCCCAGGAUGCCGGCACUGCCAGGGGUUGUGAGGCUGGAAGAUGCAGAGCUGGGCAGUGAGGGGCUGUGUGCCCCAAAUGUGGCACCCCCAAGGCACACCCAACCCCCACUGGUACCAGUACCUGGCAGGGUGGGUGGGCAGCGUGGUGCUGCUGGGGGGCUCACAGCCGGCCUCGUCAGCACCACCAGGGCAAUCUGUGACACCAUCACAUCUCCGGGAUGCUGUGACACAGCUGACCCCACACCAGAACUCCUCCAUGCCACAGGAUGCUGGUGUCACCGCCAUCGUCACGGCCAGGGCCAGGGGCACUUUGGGGAGAGGGAGAGGUGGGCAGAGAGAAGAGGUCUUGGGGUAACCCCCACAGCACAGCACAGCACAGCACAGGGUACCUGCUGGGCAGCCCAGCAGCUCGGCCCGCAGGAAGAUGGCGUUGUGGAAGCGCCGAGGGAGGAUGCGGACGUAGCGUGCCUGCGCCAUGUGGUCCAGCAGCUGCACCACCGGCGUGGUGGCAUCCCAGUUGCCCUGGAAGAGCUGUGGAGGGCAGUGAUGAGUAUGAAGGGUUGUGCACCUGGGUGCAUACCCAUGCACACCCCCAUGUGCACACCAUGCAUGCACCCGUGUGCAAACCCACUCACAAACCCAGGUUCAAAUCCACUCGCACAGCACCAGCGCAUCUGCACCCAGGCACACAUGCAGGGAAGGGGACAUGGGAUCAUCGUGUUACUGGCCACAAAGGGACAGUCGUGGAACUUCGGGACAGUCCUGUGCAGCCCCCCACCCCCUCCCCCCGACACACAUCCCCAUGCAGGUGCCCAUGGCACAAGCAGCACCUUGGGCUCCGGCCAGCUGCUGGCAGAGACCUGUCGGUAGUCGUGCCAGUGGUUCCCAUCAGUGCUGAACUGCAGCUGGAAGGCAGUGAUGAAAGCAUCCCCAGCCCCGGCCCCCUGCACCACCACCCCUGUUGGGGAAGAUAU